AGUGAACGCUAGCUACAGGCUUAACACAUGCAAGUCGAGGGGUAACGAGAGGGAAGCUUGCUUUCCUUGUCGACGACCGGCGCACGGGUGAGUAACGCGUAUCCAACCUGCCCCCAACUAAGGAAUAACCUUGCGAAAGUAAGACUAAUACCUUAUAAUUUCCUCAGAUGACAUCUGACGAGGAAUAAAGAUUUAUCGGUUGUGGAUGGGGAUGCGUCUGAUUAGCUUGCUGGCGGGGUAACGGCCCACCAAGGCAACGAUCAGUAGGGGUUCUGAGAGUAAAGUCCCACACAUUGAGACUGAGACACGGUCCAAACUCCUACGGGAUGCAGCAGUGAGGAAUAUUAGUCAAUGGGCUGAAGCCUGAACCAGCCAAGUAGCGUGCAGGAUUACGGCCCUAUUGGUUGUAAACUGCUUUUAUACAGGAAUAAAGUUAGCCACGUUUGGUUAUUUGUAGGUACUGUAUGAAUAAGGACCGGCUAAUUCCGUGCCAGCCGCCGCGGUAA
This 506-nucleotide ribosomal RNA is filed under the name uncultured bacterium. RNAcentral describes it as "partial 16S ribosomal RNA". It matches the Rfam family "Bacterial small subunit ribosomal RNA", at positions 29 to 523 of the family's 1533-position model. The record is from RNAcentral.